RNAcentral lists this microRNA precursor (46 nucleotides) under Nomascus leucogenys (northern white-cheeked gibbon). RNAcentral's name for it is "microRNA nle-mir-320c precursor (nle-mir-320c-2)". Its record names the gene nle-mir-320c-2. The record is from miRBase by way of RNAcentral. Lineage: Eukaryota; Metazoa; Chordata; Mammalia; Primates; Hylobatidae.
UCUCUUUCCAGUUCUUCCCAGAAUUGGUAAAAGCUGGGUUGAGAGG